UACAAAAUACAUAAACUUAAGAUUUCAAGUGUUAUGAACUCAAAAUCAUGAUUCAUACCUCACGCUGGUCUUCCUUCGAUGUGAUUGGCCAUGCAAGGAGUUCUGCCUGGCAACAAGAGAACUAACGCACUGAUUGGUAGAUAAUUACAAAAGGCGGUCCUCUUCGUCUGGUCUGUUGUUUGCUGCUGAGACCGGUUUCAGUGUAAAGUUAAUUAACGGGGUUUUUCACCGUGUGCCAUUUUAAGUGAUAUAAGACAAGAACAUGUGGAAAUGUAAGCAUUGCAUUUUCAACUCUGAGGAAAGAGGGGAAUUUCUCAAACAUGAUCGUUUAAAACAUGGUGCCCGUACAAAACCUGUACUUUUUCCAUGCCUACACCUUGACUGUCUUUGUGUCUGAUCAUCGCAACUCUAUCCUUGAUGUGCCAGUGGGGAGCUUACUCGAAGACACCAAUCUUCAGCCCCCCAACUCCUUGCAUUUGACUUCCUCUAUAGGGAUAAUACUUGGAGGCCAAGUGGUGAUGGACAAAAUGCAGGAUGUCUCAUAAGCAAUGUGUCUUCUCUUUGGUCUUAUUUAUGCGUUAGACCCAAAUUCCCUCGCAAACACGUUUGAUGUCAAUGGGGCAGAACACCCUCAAUCCUAAAGUACAGUCUUUGGCAAACCAACUUUUUGGUGAAGAAAAAUGUUUAGGUCUCCUUGUUGCAGAUUUUGAGUCAGCAUUGUUAGAUUUACAUACUCAGAGCAAUUUUUUUUAAUUGAUUAACUGGAUUAUCCAUAAAUGAAGGAGAAAAAGUAUAAUAGUAUUUUAAAUUGUUUAAGUGCACAGAGUUCUUCCACUGAUGGAGUGCAGUAGUUAAUGUGGGACAUUGUUACCAAGUCUUCAGUGCUGUACAGUGUGGUCGUGACACAUUUCCAUUAUAGUAUAGUGUGUACUGUAAUUUCAUUAAUUUUGUGAACAUUGGUCAAUAAAGACAUUCAAUAUGCUAUUCA
Ictalurus punctatus (channel catfish) is the source of this 988-nucleotide long non-coding RNA. The record is from Ensembl. Lineage: Eukaryota; Metazoa; Chordata; Actinopteri; Siluriformes; Ictaluridae.